RNAcentral lists this ribosomal RNA (492 nucleotides) under Salmonella enterica. Its description in RNAcentral is "partial 23S ribosomal RNA". It matches the Rfam family "Bacterial large subunit ribosomal RNA", at positions 2285 to 2776 of the family's 2925-position model. The record is from RNAcentral. Lineage: Bacteria; Pseudomonadati; Pseudomonadota; Gammaproteobacteria; Enterobacterales; Enterobacteriaceae.
UCCUCCUAAAGCGUAACGGAGGAGCACGAAGGUUGGCUAAUCCUGGUCGGACAUCAGGAGGUUAGUGCAAUGGCAUAAGCCAGCUUGACUGCGAGCGUGACGGCGCGAGCAGGUGCGAAAGCAGGUCAUAGUGAUCCGGUGGUUCUGAAUGGAAGGGCCAUCGCUCAACGGAUAAAAGGUACUCCGGGGAUAACAGGCUGAUACCGCCCAAGAGUUCAUAUCGACGGCGGUGUUUGGCACCUCGAUGUCGGCUCAUCACAUCCUGGGGCUGAAGUAGGUCCCAAGGGUAUGGCUGUUCGCCAUUUAAAGUGGUACGCGAGCUGGGUUUAGAACGUCGUGAGACAGUUCGGUCCCUAUCUGCCGUGGGCGCUGGAGAACUGAGGGGGGCUGCUCCUAGUACGAGAGGACCGGAGUGGACGCAUCACUGGUGUUCGGGUUGUCAUGCCAAUGGCACUGCCCGGUAGCUAAAUGCGGAAGAGAUAAGUGCUGAAA